AUUCCCCUGCCAUGCCCGUGUUUGGAAUUGUAUUUUUGAGCCAACAUAGUGAUAAAGGGAGCCGGAUUGAGCUGCCGUGUGCAGGCCUGUGAAAUACAGGAAGCCUAAAGCAGAUUGAGAGGCACCCACCUAGUUAAAAGCUAGGUUCAAAACAUCCUUUCCACACGACAUUUCGGCGGGGGUAAC
RNAcentral lists this non-coding RNA (186 nucleotides) under Candidatus Tectimicrobiota bacterium. Its description in RNAcentral is "6S RNA". It matches the Rfam family "6S / SsrS RNA". From Rfam's summary of the family: E. coli 6S RNA was the first non coding RNA to be sequenced, but its function was unknown until recently. It consists of 184 nucleotides that fold into an extended hairpin structure with a large single-stranded internal bulge. The record is from RNAcentral. Lineage: Bacteria; Pseudomonadati; Candidatus Tectimicrobiota.